GCACUGCUGACGAGUCCCAAACAGAACGAUACAGCUUUCCAAUGC
RNAcentral lists this non-coding RNA (45 nucleotides) under Echinostoma caproni. Lineage: Eukaryota; Metazoa; Platyhelminthes; Trematoda; Plagiorchiida; Echinostomatidae. The record is from RNAcentral.